GCUGCGGUAAUACGGAGGGUGCUAGCGUUAAUCGGAUUUAUUGGGCGUAAAGGGCGUGUAGGCGGAAAGGAAAGUUAGAUGUUAAAUCUUGGGGCUCAACCCCAAGCCAGCAUCUAAUACUAUCUUUCUAGAGGGUAGAUGGAGAAAAGGGAAUUCCACGUGUAGCGGUGAAAUGCGUAGAUAUGUGGAAGAACACCAGUGGCGAAGGCGCUUUUCUAAUUUACACCUGACGCUAAGGCGCGAAAGCAAGGGGAGCAAACAGGAUUAGAUACCCUGGUAGUCCUUGCCGUAAACGAUGCAUACUUGAUGUGGAUAGUCUCAACCCUAUCCGUGUCGUAGCUAACGCGUUAAGUAUGCCGCCUGAGGAGUACACUCGCAAGGGUGAAACUCAAAAGAAUUGACGGGGGCCCGCACAAGCAGUGGAGCAUGUGGUUUAAUUCGAUGCAACGCGAAGAACCUUACCUGGGCUUGACAUGUAUUUGACCGCGGCAGAAAUGUCGUUUUCCGCAAGGACAGAUACACAGGUGCUGCAUGGCUGUCGUCAGCUCGUGCCGUGAGGUGUUGGGUUAAGUCCCGCAACGAGCGCAACCCUUAUCGUUAGUUGCCAACACUUAGGGUGGGAACUCUAACGAGACUGCCUGGGUUAACCAGGAGGAAGGCGAGGAUGACGUCAAGUCAGCAUGGCCCUUAUGCCCAGGGCUACACACGUGCUACAAUGGCCAGUACAGAAGGUAGCAAUAUCGCAAGAUGGAGCAAAUCCUCAAAGCUGGCCCCAGUUCGGAUUGUAGUCUGCAACUCGACUACAUGAAGUCGGAAUUGCUAGUAAUGGCGUGUCAGCUAUAACGCCGUGAAUACGUUCCCGGGCCUUGUACACACCGCCCGUCACAUCAUGGGA
This 895-nucleotide ribosomal RNA is filed under the name Chlamydia abortus. RNAcentral describes it as "bacterial SSU rRNA". It matches the Rfam family "Bacterial small subunit ribosomal RNA", at positions 514 to 1409 of the family's 1533-position model. The record is from RNAcentral. Lineage: Bacteria; Pseudomonadati; Chlamydiota; Chlamydiia; Chlamydiales; Chlamydiaceae.